RNAcentral lists this ribosomal RNA (253 nucleotides) under uncultured bacterium. Its description in RNAcentral is "partial 16S ribosomal RNA". It matches the Rfam family "Bacterial small subunit ribosomal RNA", at positions 524 to 776 of the family's 1533-position model. The record is from RNAcentral.
UACGUAGGGUGCAAGCGUUGUCCGGAAUUAUUGGGCGUAAAGAGCUCGUAGGCGGUUUGUCGCGUCGAAUGUGAAAACCCGGGGCUCAACCCCGGGCCUGCAUUCGAUACGGGCAGACUAGAGUUCGGUAGGGGAGUCUGGAAUUCCUGGUGUAGCGGUGAAAUGCGCAGAUAUCAGGAGGAACACCGGUGGCGAAGGCGGGACUCUGGGCCGAUACUGACGCUGAGGAGCGAAAGCUAGGGGAGCGAACAGG